CUUUGAAGGAGACGCACAAGGCAUUUGCUGAGUAUCGCGCGAAAUGCCCGCUGCCUGAAGAACCAAUUUACAAGGAUACUGGGUCUGGGGGUCUUGUUUUGAGCACCAUGGAAUUGGAGAAGCGGCGCUUGAAACAAGAGGAAGAAGAAAGGCAAAGCCGUUUGUUGAUUGAGAAGAAGGUUAAGGAAUUUGAGGUAGAGUGUAUUACUAAAUUUGAAGCAUAUAAAGA
This 229-nucleotide unclassified non-coding RNA is filed under the name Hevea brasiliensis (rubber tree). Lineage: Eukaryota; Viridiplantae; Streptophyta; Magnoliopsida; Malpighiales; Euphorbiaceae. The record is from RNAcentral.